ACGGGAGGCAGCAGUGGGGAAUAUUGGACAAUGGGGGAAACCCUGAUCCAGCGACGCCGCGUGAGUGAAGAAGUAUUUCGGUAUGUAAAGCUCUAUCAGCAAGGAAGAAAAUGACGGUACCUGACUAAGAAGCCCCGGCUAACUACGUGCCAGCAGCCGCGGUAAUACGUAGGGGGCAAGCGUUAUCCGGAUUUACUGGGUGUAAAGGGAGCGUAGACGGCGCUGCAAGUCAGAUGUGAAAGGCUGGGGCUUAACCCCGGGACUGCAUUUGAAACUGCAGUGCUCGAGUGCCGGAGAGGUAAGCGGAAUUCCUAGUGUAGCGGUGAAAUGCGUAGAUAUUAGGAGGAACACCAGUGGCGAAGGCGGCUUACUGGACGGUAACUGACGUUGAGGCUCGAAAGCGUGGGGAGCAAACAGGAUUAGAUACCCUGGUA
RNAcentral lists this ribosomal RNA (434 nucleotides) under uncultured Clostridiales Family XIV bacterium. Its description in RNAcentral is "bacterial SSU rRNA". It matches the Rfam family "Bacterial small subunit ribosomal RNA", at positions 341 to 792 of the family's 1533-position model. Lineage: Bacteria; Bacillati; Bacillota; Clostridia; Eubacteriales; Clostridiales Family XIV. Incertae Sedis. The record is from RNAcentral.